CGAUCAUUAUUUCCUUCCAUCUCCUUUCCUUUCCUCUAUCACCGCUAGGUUUCUUCCAUCUCCUUUCCUUUCCUCUAUCACCGCUAGGUUUCCUCUCUCCCACCCCUUCUUUCCUUUCGUAUUUGUAGCGCACCAGGUUCUUCCCUCUUCGCAGUAAGCAAGGAGUUCAAAGGUAACCCUAUAUCUUAUUUCUUCCCUCUCCGCAGCACCGUGAGUAACCUUGCCAGGCGAUGAGAGGAUGCUUUAGGUGCGGCCACACUCAAGGGGGUCGCAGCCUCUCUAGACCACUAGUUUACUAGCGGUCGAUUUGCGAAUGGCUGCACGCGAGGGGGUCGAUGCCUCAUGAGGCAGCUCAUUCACAAACGGUUGCACACGAGGGGGUCUAAGCAGUGGCCUGUAGCGAGGUAACGACAUCGUUAUCUGCUUCUGAAACUCUCGUGUUUUUCCAUCUCCAUAUACUGGUAAGCUUUUCAAGAAGAUGGAAUUGCACAAGCUAGCAGAUAUGCUACUGAGGAUUCAAUUAAGUCAUGGCUUAAUGAAUUACUUUGCUUGGAUGUUGUAAGUUACAUUCCAAAUAUCACUAUGUUAGUAUUCUUGAUGAAAAGUAAAUAAUUGUUUUUCAGGUCAUUCUCUAAAUGAUCUUUUAUUUGUCUAGACUUCCACAUCCAAGUGAAUGUGCCCUUUACUAUGUCAACCGAGAUAUACUUUUCUAAUAUCACAAGGAGAGUGAGAUAUGUUUAUAGGUACUUUUAUUUGGUUAAAUUUGUGCUAUUUUUUCAUUUAUAUUACAGGGCAUGAUUUCCCUUUAUGCUGCUUCUCACUACAAAAAGUCACCUAAUGACUUACAAGUUACAAUUGAUGGUUUGUCUCUCCAUUUUGGAAUUCAAUGAUAUUUUUUCUCCUCAUAGAGAGAAGACUACACUUGAGCAUGAGCCUAGCUUAUUUAUUGGUUCUUUGCCUUGAAGGUUAAAGAUUGUAAGAUCCUUUUUUUGGAAAGACUGGCAAACUACUGAAGGAGGCAGAUAAAGAAAUUGGUCAUCAGAAAAUGAUUACCUCCAUAUCAAAAUCUACAUAUGGCUCUCAUUUUCUAUCAGGUUCAUCAGAUAAGUUUGCCAAGUUUUCACUGGAUUUUGACUAUCAUCAAUGUUGAGAAGGAGAUUAGAAGGAGCAAAUUACUUGGUGGAUAGAGUGCCUCAAUUGACAAUAUGGUGGUUCGCAGAAUCUGGAGUGUGGACAAUCUGUUAAGGUUGUCUUUAAUCAGAUUUCGAUUGUGCUACUAGAGAUUCAUAAAUGAAUAUUUAUCAAUCUAAUCAGCUGGUUUGGCUUAAGAAUAAGAUCAGUAAUAGCCAACCAAAGUCUAGUAAAAAUGCCCUCAAAAGUAACUAGAGUGACCGAAAAGAGGGAAUUAGAAUUGGAGAAAGAGAUGGAGAUUAUUAAGGAUAUCAAUGUAUAUAUUAGUCUCUUUCUCUCUUUCCUAACAACUUAGCUUUUAGGAUAAAUAGUCAGCCAAUCAAAUUUGAGAGAAAAAGAGAGGAGAACCUUCACUAGUGCAAUUGGCGACCAUGCACCACUCUUGUUGUCCGCUGUGCUGUAAGGCAGAGUUGACGGAUGUAAGUGAGAUAUGUUAGGAUCUUUAUGUUCUUGAAUUUGGGAUCGUUUCCAAGGUUUUUCUGAAGUAAAAUUGCUGCUUAGGAUCUCAGCGUCCUAUCAUAAUCGAUGUUUCUGAGUUUUGUGACCUAGUGCCCUAUGAUUACAGUAAUUGGCUAGUUUGCAUCAAAAAAAUUCCCUGCUCUUGAUAAGAAAGAAGACCAUUAAAUAGCUUCCUGAUUGUGAAUACUUCAUUACUUGUAAAUUAACCAGAUAUACACUUUUCAGUUGAUCUGUUAUAGUAAAAGCCAAUAAUAGAAACUACUUAACCAUCCAAAUCUCCUGUACAGAGAUUUAGACCCCCAUCUUCAUGCACAUGGCUAACUGUACUGAUGAUGUAACAUAGAAAUAGGUAAUUUGCUGCAGUUCCACUUAAUUAACACUUUCACUGCAUAUCAACCCACCUUGUGUUUGCCUGCUUCAUUGAUUGCGUGGUGAUGGUGAAUUUUAUAGCUUUUGCUGCUUAUUGUAUUAUGUCUAUUAGCCAUGUGUAUACA
Molecule: long non-coding RNA, 2144 nt
Organism: Zingiber officinale
Lineage: Eukaryota; Viridiplantae; Streptophyta; Magnoliopsida; Zingiberales; Zingiberaceae
Exons: 5
Source: RefSeq, a predicted model, not a curated record